Molecule: ribosomal RNA, 1403 nt
Filed under: uncultured bacterium
Lineage: Bacteria
Description: 16S ribosomal RNA
Rfam family: Bacterial small subunit ribosomal RNA
Source: RNAcentral
UAGAGUUUGAUCCUGGCUCAGGAUGAACGCUAGCUACAGGCUUAACACAUGCAAGUCGAGGGGCAGCAUGGGAGUUUGCUUGCAAACUUCCGAUGGCGACCGGCGCACGGGUGAGUAACACGUAUCCAACCUGCCGAUAACUCGGGGAUAGCCUUUCGAAAGAAAGAUUAAUAUCCGAUAGCAUAUCAAGGUCGCAUGAUCUUGAUAUUAAAGAAUUUCGGUUAUCGAUGGGGAUGCGUUCCAUUAGUUAGUUGGCGGGGUAACGGCCCACCAAGACGACGAUGGAUAGGGGUUCUGAGAGGAAGGUCCCCCACAUUGGAACUGAGACACGGUCCAAACUCCUACGGGAGGCAGCAGUGAGGAAUAUUGGUCAAUGGGCGGGAGCCUGAACCAGCCAAGUCGCGUGAGGGAUGACGGCCCUAUGGGUUGUAAACCUCUUUUGCCGGGGAGCAAAGUGCCGCACGUGUGCGGUUUGGAGAGUACCCGGAGAAAAAGCAUCGGCUAACUCCGUGCCAGCAGCCGCGGUAAUACGGAGGAUGCGAGCGUUAUCCGGAUUUAUUGGGUUUAAAGGGUGCGUAGGCGGACGCUUAAGUCAGCGGUAAAAUUGCGGGGCUCAACCUCGUCGAGCCGUUGAAACUGGGUGCCUUGAGUGGGCGAGAAGUACGCGGAAUGCGUGGUGUAGCGGUGAAAUGCAUAGAUAUCACGCAGAACUCCGAUUGCGAAGGCAGCGUACCGGCGCCCAACUGACGCUGAAGCACGAAGGCGUGGGUAUCGAACAGGAUUAGAUACCCUGGUAGUCCACGCAGUAAACGAUGAAUGCUAGUUGUCCGGGGCGAUUGAGUUCUGGGUGACACAGCGAAAGCGUUAAGCAUUCCACCUGGGGAGUACGCCGGCAACGGUGAAACUCAAAGGAAUUGACGGGGGCCCGCACAAGCGGAGGAACAUGUGGUUUAAUUCGAUGAUACGCGAGGAACCUUACCCGGGCUCAAACGCAGGAGGGAUGUUUUUGAAAGGAGGCAGCCAGCAAUGGUCUCCUGCGAGGUGCUGCAUGGUUGUCGUCAGCUCGUGCCGUGAGGUGUCGGCUUAAGUGCCAUAACGAGCGCAACCCCUACCUACAGUUGCCAUCGCGUGAUGGCGGGCACUCUGUGGGGACUGCCUGCGCAAGCAGUGAGGAAGGCGGGGAUGACGUCAAAUCAGCACGGCCCUUACGUCCGGGGCGACACACGUGUUACAAUGGCAGGUACAGCGGGAAGCCACCCGGCGACGGGGCGCGGAACCCGAAAACCUGUCUCAGUUCGGAUUGGAGUCUGCAACCCGACUCCAUGAAGCUGGAUUCGCUAGUAAUCGCGCAUCAGCCACGGCGCGGUGAAUACGUUCCCGGGCCUUGCACUCACCGCCCGUCA